RNAcentral lists this ribosomal RNA (302 nucleotides) under uncultured bacterium. RNAcentral's name for it is "partial 16S ribosomal RNA". It matches the Rfam family "Bacterial small subunit ribosomal RNA", at positions 508 to 809 of the family's 1533-position model. The record is from RNAcentral.
GCAGUAGCCACGGUAAUACAGAGGGUGCGAGCGUUAAUCGGAUUUACUGGGCGUAAAGCGUGCGUAGGCGGCUUUUUAAGUCGGAUGUGAAAUCCCUGAGCUUAACUUAGGAAUUGCAUUCGAUACUGGGAAGCUAGAGUAUGGGAGAGGAUGGUAGAAUUCCAGGUGUAGCGGUGAAAUGCGUAGAGAUCUGGAGGAAUACCGAUGGCGAAGGCAGCCAUCUGGCCUAAUACUGACGCUGAGGUACGAAAGCAUGGGGAGCAAACAGGAUUAGAUACCCGCGUAGUCCCUGUCUCUUAUCA